CCUUGCGUCCUGCCUGAGCACACUUUGGUUAGUUGGUAGUUGCCAUGCGGGACACCGGGUUCGUGUGUUGACGUCAUUCUAUCUCCCAACAGACGAGUUAAUAUUGAUAACUAGAAGUUGAAUGUCGGGAUGAAGGGACAUGAACUCGAAGCGAGGCAAAUAAUUACAACGAUAGAUGCGUGUUUUGCAAAUUAUACCACAUUUUUGCCAAUAUUGAAUCUAUCAACGACUUUGAAAUUGUACAUUCUAAUUAAAGAUAUGCUAUUAAUAAAACUAUGACUGCGAACCAAUGAAACAAUGUGUACAAAAAAGGGUGACCAGUUAAAGAUCAUUCUCAAAAAGUUUUUAACAAAAACCUAAAAUAAAUAGAAGUGAAUUUGAACCAUCUUUAAUUUCUGAAGUAAGAUUAUACAAGGAAAAUGUCAAUAAACUGGAAAUUACUUUGUUAUUAUAUUUUGCCAAUAUCUACGGUUUUUAUAAUUUUAUUUGUGGAGUAAAUACUUUCUCACAAAAUUAUAUUUAUGUUAAAAGUGAAAUAGAGAUAAAAAUGUAACAUAAUGUCAUUGUGUAUAAGUUAUUUCGAAUAAAUUAAAAAAUGUGUUUCAAAUA
This is a long non-coding RNA of Apis cerana (Asiatic honeybee), 609 nucleotides long. RefSeq lists it as uncharacterized. NCBI's taxonomy places the organism in Eukaryota, Metazoa, Arthropoda, Insecta, Hymenoptera, Apidae. The record is from RefSeq and is a predicted model, not a curated record.